AUACUUAGUUGGCAGGGGAGAUACCAUCAUCAUGAAGGUGAUUUUCCCAGGGUGAGGCUUUAUCCAUUGCACUCCACAUGUGCUGACUCCUGUGAUUUCCCCAAAUGUGGGAAACUCGACUGCAAAAUUUGUGGUAGUGGGGGACUGCGUUCGUGCUCUCUCUUU
Dipodomys ordii (Ord's kangaroo rat) is the source of this 165-nucleotide small nuclear RNA. Its record names the gene U1. It matches the Rfam family "U1 spliceosomal RNA". Rfam says of the family: U1 is a small nuclear RNA (snRNA) component of the spliceosome (involved in pre-mRNA splicing). Its 5' end forms complementary base pairs with the 5' splice junction, thus defining the 5' donor site of an intron. The record is from Ensembl. Lineage: Eukaryota; Metazoa; Chordata; Mammalia; Rodentia; Heteromyidae.